CAGAGACGGACGACUUUCCUGCUCGGUGCCGAGCUGUGAUUGUUAAGUGUCUGUCCUGUGGAGCCGGAGGUUGUUGACUUUUUCAGGUUUGCGGGAUUAAGAUUAUGCUCAGUCGCCCGUGUCAGGAUGCUCCUCCGGGCUCCCUGGAGCACAAACUUGGUUUAACGUCUGAGAUAAAAGGUAGAGAUGUGGGUGUGAUUUGUUUUUGUUCCAGGCAAAAAACCGGUGAGAUAUGUUUUUGACGCGACACCUGGCGCGAUUGAAGUGUUUCAUCCCACAAGUGUCCACAGCCUGUAGCGCCUCCGCUGCGUCACAACCGCGACGUUACAACGGCCGAGAAGCCGCCGGCGUUGAAAUGGCGGGGUUUGUUCUUGAUAACCCAAUAAAUAACCUCCAGUGGAGAGCUUAAUGCGCAGCUAUAGACACUGUAAGGAUGCAAAGGCUAUUCGAGGAAUGAGAUAAAAUUAUUUUAUUGCGUUAAACCUUAAUUUGUGAAGCACGCGAACGAAGAGAAAUAAAGGUUUUCCAAGGAAUUCGUUCGAUAUUUAUGGAGAGAACAGCUGCCCCCACCGUGACUGUCCUGCUUUGCGGCCCUGAAGUAUCUUGAUUACAGAAGUGAUUGUCUCUACCCAGUCCCUCCCCAGAGCAGUACGGUCGGUCAGCGGUCCCUGGUCCCUGUGGAUCUGUGUGGAGAGGAGAGGUUAGGGAGUGAGGCCUUUUGAGCUUUCUCAGCCCUAUUGGCAGCAGAGGUGGAAUUGGAGAUGUGCAUUUCCUGGUGACUCUGUGACCGUGCCGGACAGCUCUGUUAAUGAGGUGACUGGGCAACUGGACUGCAGGGUCCUGCCUGGACAGCAGGGUCGGUCCUGACUGCUCUUGAGCAGCAUGUUGAGCUUCUCCGGGCCUCUCCAGCUGCAGGGUGGUAUUUCACAUCAGUGCAUCCGAGCAGCUGCAGGUUUGCCCUCAUGCUACAGCAGGAGAGCUUCCACAGCUGGAACACUCUGGAGCGUGUCAAAGCUCCGUCCUCCCCCGUUGUCGCGUACCCAUUCGGGCCACUUUCCAGACGUGCUGUGGGUGUUGGUUUCCCAGCCGGCACCUGGCUCGGAGCACCAGUGGCCGAGAGCGAUCCAGUGUUGCAGCUGAGGGCCUCAGAGCCUGCUGUUGCAGU
This is a non-coding RNA of Lepisosteus oculatus (spotted gar), 1165 nucleotides long. The record is from RefSeq and is a predicted model, not a curated record. NCBI's taxonomy places the organism in Eukaryota, Metazoa, Chordata, Actinopteri, Semionotiformes, Lepisosteidae.